UUUUUGCUUGCCAUAACUUUUCUGUAUAAUUCUUUUUUUUUUCUUUUGGGAGCCACAAAAAAUCUCCCUCGGCCUCUAAAAAGAGGAAAUAAAAGGGUGUUCCAAAAAAAACAGGCAAGUCUCCUUAACUCGCUAAACAUAUCACGAUCUGUUAAUAUUUUGUUUUGUUUUCUUAUUACCUAGAUCGACAAAAAAGGUGAUUUUGUUUUCUUAUUAUCUUGAAGACUAAUGAAGACUAAUGCAUAUCUUGAAGAAGGAAAGAAUAGUUCAGUUUUUGGCAAAAUGUUCACUUCAGCUUGAGAUGUUAAGAUUUGCGAAUUCUUUUCUCAAGAUGAAGGAACAAAGCAAAAAGGAGGCUAAUUUUUCCAUUUAGCCUUAAUGAUCUGAUUGAUAUUUAG
Coffea arabica (coffee) is the source of this 398-nucleotide non-coding RNA. Lineage: Eukaryota; Viridiplantae; Streptophyta; Magnoliopsida; Gentianales; Rubiaceae. The record is from RefSeq and is a predicted model, not a curated record.